CUAUUAUGGCAGAAAUUAUGCAAUGAAUUUAAAAUUCAUUUAUAAAGAUUAAUCUUUUUUUAGAA
RNAcentral lists this transfer RNA (65 nucleotides) under Daktulosphaira vitifoliae (grape phylloxera). RNAcentral's name for it is "tRNA-Leu". The record is from RNAcentral. Lineage: Eukaryota; Metazoa; Arthropoda; Insecta; Hemiptera; Phylloxeridae.